Long non-coding RNA from Aquila chrysaetos chrysaetos, 97 nucleotides. RefSeq lists it as uncharacterized. Lineage: Eukaryota; Metazoa; Chordata; Aves; Accipitriformes; Accipitridae. The record is from RefSeq and is a predicted model, not a curated record. The transcript is spliced from 3 exons.
AAUAUGUGAGAUAAACAACUAUGCAGACACCAGGGUCAGUGAAGAAGGAGGGGGAGGAGGUGCUCCAAAUGCCAGAGCAAAGAUUCACGGAGGUCCA